ACUGAUUAAAUCGGUUCUUAUGACUAUUCUUACCUAUGCUUUGCAGACUACUGCUCUAUGCAGCUCUCUCUACGAUCAAAUUGACCGGAUGGUGCGUGAUUUUAUCUGGAGCUCUUCAAACGACUUGAAGAAGCCAAGCUUUGUCAAUUGAAAUAAAAUAUAUCAGCCUACCUCGCAUGAGGAAGGGGGGGAGUGGCCGGGGCUGCUGACCAGGCCGCUGACAUGGCUGCUGACGUGGAGCUGACGUGGUACAACUUUUUUAAAUUACGUUUUG
Molecule: long non-coding RNA, 274 nt
Filed under: Carica papaya (papaya)
Lineage: Eukaryota; Viridiplantae; Streptophyta; Magnoliopsida; Brassicales; Caricaceae
Description: long non-coding RNA (CPAP_LNC008444)
Source: RNAcentral